UAUUCUCGAACCCCCCUUAAGAGUGGUUCUAGAAUAGUUAUUCUCGAACCCCUAUCCACCAGAAAAACCUUCCGACCUGAACCAGUUCUCCUUCCUCCCACCUACCCUGUACCGAACUGUCCGAACUUCCCCAGAAGCGCUGCGCAUCUGGCCCUACUCCCGCCUCACCUUCUUCCCCCGACUGCGCACCCAGCCCUAAUCCCGCCUCACCUUCUUCCCCAGACGACUGUCGGCCAGGAGCUCCUCCAUCACGCCGUUGUGCUACGCGGCGGCCGCCGGCCAGGAGCUUCUCCGUGCUGCCCCUGUUCUGUGCGACCGCCGCCAACCCGGCGCUCCGUGACACCGUGCCAGUUAACCACGGCCGUUGGCGAACGCGGACCUCCUCCACGCCUGCCUCACCGGCCACCUGGCCUCCUGCACGGUAGCCGACCCCUCCUUCCAUCCCCUUCCCAGCGUCGAUUCUCGCGGAUGCGGGGCUUUGACUCGAUCGAGCGCCCGGCGUGGACUACCUCUGCAUCCACUUUGGUACUCCUCCCAAUUCCCAGACCACCAACACAACGCUACCAGCGAGUCCACAUCCAGUCACGAGGGAUCCACACGGGGACGAUUUGCAGUCUCGCACGGCCCUUCCCCAACCUCCCGCGCCAGCCACCGUCGGCCGCUGCCCUCCCCUCUCCAAUCCCCUGCCUCGCCCACCUCUGCGCGCUGGCCGGCAAGCUCCGCCCCAUCGUGGUCCAGGCUCGCUGCAGUCUCGUCUCAGUCAGGCACUCAGGCCGGCGUGGCCGUCGAGCCAGGCCAGGCGGCCGGCUGUGGCACUCCAUCGCUUGAUCUGAACUUGCCUGUUUCUGAGCUGCCGUGUUGUUUCUUCUGGUUGUUCUUUUGGUUCACAUUAUUGUUGUCUAACACAAUAACAGAAAUUCAAACAAAAAUAAUAGAGGAUGGUCUUCAGCGAGGACAAUCACCUGGAUGACAAACAAUAUGUUCAUCGGAGACAUUUGAACUAUUAUUUUGAGCAUUUCCUGAAGAAAAAAACUACGGGUUGUCACAUGUGUGGCCUCCGGUGCUGAGUGGAAGCUUACGAUUGGGUACUGAACCCCCGAAAGGCCGCCUCCCAGGCUGUGCUGCAGCGACGUGUGCACUGCAUCCUGCUGGCCAACAUUUGCAUCGGUGUCGACACUGCUGCUGCUGUAGAAAUCUCACAAGCUUGCCUCAUGGAGCGAUCUAGUCAGCUGUAUUGGGUUGGCUCAAUCCAAGAAAUAGUACCGAGAAAAAUGCAAGAAGUGCAGUCGUUCAGCGCGACUAGUCCUUGUGUUG
Long non-coding RNA from Lolium perenne, 1314 nucleotides. RefSeq lists it as uncharacterized. The record is from RefSeq and is a predicted model, not a curated record. Lineage: Eukaryota; Viridiplantae; Streptophyta; Magnoliopsida; Poales; Poaceae.